UCCGGUUGAUUUGCCGGACCCUACUGCUAUUGGGGUGGGACUAAGACAUGCGAGUUGAGCGUCUCUAAGCUAUGGUAGAGACGCAGCGUACGGCUCAGUAACACGUGGCUAACCUACCCUUAGGACGGAGACAACCCCGGGAAACUGGGGCUAAUACCCGAUAGAUGAGGAGGCCUGGAAUGGUUCGUAGUCGAAAAGGCGUUGAAACCAUGCUUUUCGACGUCGCCUAAGGAUGGGGCCGCGCCCGAUCAGGUUGUUGGUGGGGUAACGGCUCACCAAGCCUAUAACCGGUACGGGCCGUGAGAGCGGGAGCCCGGAGAUGGGCACUGAGACAAGGGCCCAGGCCCUACGGGGCGCAGCAGUUGCGAAAACUCCACAAUGCACGAAAGUGCGAUGGGGCUACCCCGAGUGCCGUCCGCUGAGGACGGCUUUUCCAUGGUGUAAGGAGCCGUGGGAAUAAGGAGAGGGCAAGACUGGUGUCAGCCGCCGCGGUAAUACCAGCUCUCCGAGUGGUGAGGACGAUUAUUGGGCUUAAAGCGUUCGUAGCCGGCUUAACAAGUCUUCCGUUAAAUCCAACGAUCUAAUCGUUGGGCCGCGGAAGAUACUGUUGGGCUAGGAGGCGGGAGAAGCCGACGGUAUUCUCGGGGUAGGGGUGAAAUCCUGUAAUCCCGGGAGGACCACCAGUGGCGAAGGCGGUCGGCUAGAACGCGCUCGACGGUGAGGGACGAAAGCUGGGGGAGCGAACCGGAUUAGAAACCCGGAUAGUCCCAGCUGUAAACGAUGCGGGCUAGGUGUUGGGGUGGCCACGAGCCACCUCAGUGCCGCAUGGAAGCAAUUAAGCCCGCCGCCUGGGGAGUACGGCCGCAAGGCUGAAACUUAAAGGAAUUGGCGGGGGAGCACCACAAGGCGUGAAGCUUACGGUUUAAUUGGAUUCAACGCCGGG
RNAcentral lists this ribosomal RNA (943 nucleotides) under uncultured archaeon. RNAcentral's name for it is "bacterial SSU rRNA". It matches the Rfam family "Archaeal small subunit ribosomal RNA", at positions 1 to 922 of the family's 1478-position model. The record is from RNAcentral.